AGAACAGAAAAUUGAGGUAUAAGUUCCAAAAAGCCUUGGCGUAAACCCUGAAACUCCUGCCCACACAAGCCAUUGUGGAGAGCUCCCCAGAAAGUCUUUUUUCCCAGCACAUGAAGAAGAAUCACCACCUUUUCUAGUAACCUGGGUUUGGACCUACCUAGGAGAGAGUGAAUGGAUUUCCUCUGGAACACCUUGAGAUGGAGCAUCCUGGCAUCAUGACUAGGCAUAGAAGCCUACUCUAAGCAACAAGGAGUCUAGGGCAGUGUACUCUUCUUCCAGGCUGUGAAAGCCUCUAAAGAUGUACAGGUCAACUUCCUGAUGCUACUAGGGGAACACUGAACCCAACUGUCUAGAGAACUUCACGGGGGGCUCACCUGAUUGAAAACCGUACUUGUGUUCAUUUUUUCCCAGCUCACGAAAAGACCCAUCUAGGUAAGGAUUGUUUUAAUUGUAUCACAGUGAAAUUCAUCCCAGGAAUACUGGGAUUCACAGGGCAGUACGGCAGGUGCUAUGAGUGGAAUUCCUGCUGACGAGCCAGAUCUCCGUACCACACAGUAAAAAGAAGGGUUGAGAUUCAAGCCUGGAUCUGUGUUAU
Molecule: long non-coding RNA, 595 nt
Filed under: Sus scrofa (pig)
Lineage: Eukaryota; Metazoa; Chordata; Mammalia; Artiodactyla; Suidae
Description: lncRNA (ENSSSCG00015057141.1)
Source: RNAcentral